RNAcentral lists this ribosomal RNA (253 nucleotides) under uncultured bacterium. Its description in RNAcentral is "partial 16S ribosomal RNA". It matches the Rfam family "Bacterial small subunit ribosomal RNA", at positions 524 to 776 of the family's 1533-position model. The record is from RNAcentral.
UACGUAGGGUGCGAGCGUUAAUCGGAAUUACUGGGCGUAAAGCGUGCGCAGGCGGUUUUGUAAGCCAGAUGUGAAAUCCCCGGGCUUAACCUGGGAAUGGCAUUUGGGACUGCAAGGCUCGAGUGCGGCAGAGGAGACUGGAAUUCCUGGUGUAGCAGUGAAAUGCGUAGAUAUCAGGAGGAACACCUGUGCUGUAGACAGCUUACUGGACCACUUCUGACGCUGAGACACGAAAGCGUGGGUAGCAAACAGG